This 227-nucleotide ribosomal RNA is filed under the name uncultured Staphylococcus sp. RNAcentral's name for it is "partial 16S ribosomal RNA". It matches the Rfam family "Bacterial small subunit ribosomal RNA", at positions 137 to 354 of the family's 1533-position model. The record is from RNAcentral. Lineage: Bacteria; Bacillati; Bacillota; Bacilli; Caryophanales; Staphylococcaceae.
ACUGGGACAACUUCGGGAAACCGGAGCUAAUAACCGGANUAAGAUAUCGAACCGCAUGGUUCGAUAGUGAAAGAUGGUUUUGCUAUCACUUAUAGAUGGACCCGCGCCGUAUUAGCUAGUUGGUGAGGUAACGGCUCACCAAGGCAACGAUACGUAGCCGACCUGAGAGGGUGAUCGGCCACACUGGAACUGAGACACGGUCCAGACUCCUACGGGAGGCAGCAGAC